GGUGGCUCAGUGGUAGAGUGCUUGCCUUGCAUGCCAGAAGCCCUGGGUUUGAUUCCUCAGCACCA
RNAcentral lists this transfer RNA (65 nucleotides) under Dipodomys ordii (Ord's kangaroo rat). It matches the Rfam family "tRNA". From Rfam's summary of the family: Transfer RNA (tRNA) molecules are approximately 80 nucleotides in length. Their secondary structure includes four short double-helical elements and three loops (D, anti-codon, and T loops). Further hydrogen bonds mediate the characteristic L-shaped molecular structure. tRNAs have two regions of fundamental functional importance: the anti-codon, which is responsible for specific mRNA codon recognition, and the 3' end, to which the tRNAs corresponding amino acid is attached (by aminoacyl-tRNA synthetases). tRNAs cope with the degeneracy of the genetic code in two manners: having more than one tRNA (with a specific anti-codon) for a particular amino acid; and 'wobble' base-pairing, i.e. permitting non-standard base-pairing at the 3rd anti-codon position. Lineage: Eukaryota; Metazoa; Chordata; Mammalia; Rodentia; Heteromyidae. The record is from Rfam by way of RNAcentral.